RNAcentral lists this long non-coding RNA (1195 nucleotides) under Populus tremula. RNAcentral's name for it is "long non-coding RNA (PTRE_LNC001049)". The record is from RNAcentral. Lineage: Eukaryota; Viridiplantae; Streptophyta; Magnoliopsida; Malpighiales; Salicaceae.
UUUUUUUAAACAAAUCACAAAAUACAUUUCAACCGCAAAAACAAAUAACCCUGUACAUGUUUUUCAGCACCGACUUUUCAUUCACAUGUAACAAGAGUGGCUUGAAGAUUUCCACAUAGUUGUUGAAGAUUUCCACAUAGUUGUUCAACCCAGCUUGCUGCAGAAAUAUGAGACUAAUCUAGAUUUUUAGGUGAACUAAAGAAGAUAUUAACUUCUUGAAAUUCGAUUAACCCAUCAAAUUUUUAGUAAUUUGAUUAACCUGUCUAAACUUGAUCCGUCAAUACUAAUAAUUUUUUUUAAAUAACAAAACAAUGAUGUUUUAAUAAAAACAUGUAACCGGUGAAAUCUAAUAAUCUAACACCACCUUCUCUUCUCUCGGUCGAGUCAGUUUGACAAAUAUGAAUUCCUAUUCUACAAUGAUUUUCCUAUCAAAUAUGAAGUAUACUGGAGAAGAGAUCAGGGUUAUCUUGGUUUAGUUGUUGCUUGCCUCGAUAAAACUUUCAUCUACUAGUUGCAGAUCUGCCUCUCCAACAUUUUCUAACCCUUUCUCUCUGAACAACAACAAUCCCCAUACUUCAUAUUGACAGCAACGUUGGAGAACUGCUGCUCAAAAUCCAGUUUGUUCGAAAGGAGGAUCUCACUUUUAUGUGCCCGAGUCCCACACGUUCAUGUGAGGCUGUGAGCAGAUUUCCCAAGUCCCAACACCAUUUGCUAAUCAAGUGUAUUAAGGCUUAAUCAUGUCAGAAAGCAAACUCAUGGAGUUGGCCUUCGGUUAAGGUAAAAAACACACACCACUUUCGAGUUCAAUCCGAACAUUGCUAGAUGCUAGUUAGCCCUAGUCCGUUUCUUACCUGCUUGCAUUUACCUGAACGAUUAGUCAGUGGUUGAUUAUUAGUAUUCGGAAACUCAAUACCCGUCAUGACAGUAGUAAUCUGACCACCGUAGAAGAAAAAUACUAUCAGAUACUGCAUUUGAUUCUCCCCCUUGUAAGCAGGAAAAAAGAAAAAAUGGAGAGAACGAGACAGUAAAAACACAUUUACUAAUUGUAACCCUUUUUAUUUCCAGACCUGCAGCAAACCAUUGAAAAGUGAGACAAAGUAACAGAAGCUUUUGGCUCAAUUAAAAUCCUUGAACCAUCAGCAAUUUGUACUCCUAUUGGUUGUUAGAACCCUUCUCUCUUCCAUCUCUCGGAAUC